This 233-nucleotide ribosomal RNA is filed under the name uncultured bacterium. Its description in RNAcentral is "partial 16S ribosomal RNA". It matches the Rfam family "Bacterial small subunit ribosomal RNA", at positions 99 to 334 of the family's 1533-position model. The record is from RNAcentral.
CGGACGGGUGAGUAAUGUCUGGGAAACUGCCCGAUGGAGGGGGAUAACUACUGGAAACGGUAGCUAAUACCGCAUAAUGUCUGCGGACCAAAGCGGGGGGACCUCCGGGCCUCGCGCCAUCAGAUGAACCCAUAUGGGAUUAGCUUGUAGGUAAGGUAACGGCUUACCUAGGCGACGAUCCCUAGCUGGUCUGAGAGGAUGAUCAGCCACACUGGGACUGAGACACGGCCCAG